Crotalus tigris (Tiger rattlesnake) is the source of this 250-nucleotide long non-coding RNA. RefSeq lists it as uncharacterized. The record is from RefSeq and is a predicted model, not a curated record. Lineage: Eukaryota; Metazoa; Chordata; Lepidosauria; Squamata; Viperidae. The transcript has 3 exons.
GAAAGAUAGCACAGUUCCUGGGGAUAAUUCAGUGUGGCUGGCUGAGAAGACCAACAACAGUAAAAAAAUAACCCACGGGAAUAGAACUGCUCCCUGUAAUAACAGAGAAGUGAAAAACAGUUUCCCUCAGUGUCUCAUAAACUACUUCAUUCAAGGAUCAGCAUUUUGAUUAGAACAUCGUUUUCCAGCCCGAUAAAAAUCGAUUUGGAGCGGACGAGGAACUGAGGGGAGGAAAGGAAACGUGCUCGGU